RNAcentral lists this non-coding RNA (25 nucleotides) under Mus musculus (house mouse). Lineage: Eukaryota; Metazoa; Chordata; Mammalia; Rodentia; Muridae. The record is from RNAcentral.
UGUGAUGUGCCAGCCUCCAGUUCCA